This 492-nucleotide ribosomal RNA is filed under the name uncultured bacterium. RNAcentral describes it as "partial 16S ribosomal RNA". It matches the Rfam family "Bacterial small subunit ribosomal RNA", at positions 29 to 507 of the family's 1533-position model. The record is from RNAcentral.
AGUGAACGCUGGCGGUAGGCCUAACACAUGCAAGUCGAACGGCAGCACAGUAAGAGCUUGCUCUUACGGGUGGCGAGUGGCGGACGGGUGAGGAAUACAUCGGAAUCUACUUUUUCGUGGGGGAUAACGUAGGGAAACUUACGCUAAUACCGCAUACGACCUACGGGUGAACGCAGGGGAUCUUCGGACCUUGCGCGAUUGAAUGAGCCGAUGUCGGAUUAGCUAGUUGGCGGGGGAAAGGCCCACCAAGGCGACGAUCCGUAGCUGGUCUGAGAGGAUGAUCAGCCACACUGGAACUGAGAUACGGUCCAGACUACUACGGGAGGCAGCAGUGGGGAAUAUUGGACAAUGGGCGCAAGCCUGAUCCAGCCAUACCGCGUGGGUGAAGAAGGCCUUCGGGUUGUAAAGCCCUUUUGUUGGGAAAGAAAAGCAGCAGGUUAAUACCCCGCUGUUCUGACGGUACCCAAAGAAUAAGCACCGGCUAACUUCGUG